Molecule: ribosomal RNA, 868 nt
Filed under: Alteromonas macleodii
Lineage: Bacteria; Pseudomonadati; Pseudomonadota; Gammaproteobacteria; Alteromonadales; Alteromonadaceae
Also listed under: 1 other name
Description: bacterial SSU rRNA
Rfam family: Bacterial small subunit ribosomal RNA
Source: RNAcentral
GGUAACAUUUACUAGCUUGCUAGUAAGAUGACGAGUGGCGGACGGGUGAGUAAUGCUUGGGAACUUGCCUUUGCGAGGGGGAUAACAGUUGGAAACGACUGCUAAUACCGCAUAAUGUCUUCGGACCAAACGGGGCUUCGGCUCCGGCGCAAAGAGAGGCCCAAGUGAGAUUAGCUAGUUGGUAAGGUAACGGCUUACCAAGGCGACGAUCUCUAGCUGUUCUGAGAGGAAGAUCAGCCACACUGGGACUGAGACACGGCCCAGACUCCUACGGGAGGCAGCAGUGGGGAAUAUUGCACAAUGGGGGAAACCCUGAUGCAGCCAUGCCGCGUGUGUGAAGAAGGCCUUCGGGUUGUAAAGCACUUUCAGUUGUGAGGAAAAGUUAGUAGUUAAUACCUGCUAGCCGUGACGUUAACAACAGAAGAAGCACCGGCUAACUCCGUGCCAGCAGCCGCGGUAAUACGGAGGGUGCGAGCGUUAAUCGGAAUUACUGGGCGUAAAGCGCACGCAGGCGGUUUGUUAAGCUAGAUGUGAAAGCCCCGGGCUCAACCUGGGAUGGUCAUUUAGAACUGGCAGACUAGAGUCUUGGAGAGGGGAGUGGAAUUCCAGGUGUAGCGGUGAAAUGCGUAGAUAUCUGGAGGAACAUCAGUGGCGAAGGCGACUCCCUGGCCAAAGACUGACGCUCAUGUGCGAAAGUGUGGGUAGCGAACAGGAUUAGAUACCCUGGUAGUCCACACCGUAAACGCUGUCUACUAGCUGUGUGUGUCUUUAAGGCGUGCGUAGCGAAGCUAACGCGCUAAGUAGACCGCCUGGGGAGUACGGCCGCAAGGUUAAAACUCAAAUGAAUUUGACGGGGGCCCGCACAAGC